AUCAAUCGGGUUUUAAUCAAAUAUUGCUACUUGAUUAAUCAAAUUUUUACAUUUCAAUCGGAGAGACCUGAAGCACCUCCGUUCACUUCUGUUCCAACGAAGCAAGAGAGCGAGAGAGAGCGCGCACGCACCAAUCACGUGAGAAAAAAAAUUGCUAUCUAACGUUCUCACUCGUGAUUGGUCAAUUCUUAUGUAUACAAUAUGCUCUUAUUGGCCAUUUCAGAGCUCAUGAACAUAACUACUCCCAGCUCAUCUGAGUGUUGGUAACCUGGGUUACAUAUACAUAUCUUGAGUGAUUUAUGUACCCAUUAAUCGAAAGUGGUGGUUAACCUGCAACAUGGCCUUUAAAAACACGUUAUAAACACCAACAUGUGGAAGCCAAACUCUCACUGCGCGUGCACAUGCAUGUUCAACACAAUACAUUUGUAGAAGUGGAUUAAGGUAGUAAGGAGCUGUUCACCCUAUUCUGCUAUAAUAUACUGUACUAGGAACUGCAAGAUCUAGGGGGUCUGAAAAACAUCUCUGUGGAGCUUCCUGAUUGGCCAGUUAGUGAUGACACAGUGCUUCAUUUGGCAACUGCUGAGGCUCUAGCAACAGGAAAAGCAGGCGAGGAGCUACUGCAUGAGGUUGCUUUCCGAUAUGUGGAAGGAAUGAGGGACAUGGAAGGGAGGAAGCCAGGACCUUCAAGUAUUCUAGGUGCAGAAUCCAGAAAUGUUGUCUUAUGUUGGAAUGAAAGAAAGUAGCAGAUGAAGUGCCUCUUAUGCUUACACAAAGAUGGAGGAAAGAGUUCCUGGAAGAAAUAAAGAAAACUUAACUUGCUGCUCAAACUGUGUAGAAAUAAGAAAUAAGCAUUUCUGUGUGUGAAUUUCAUCUGAGGUUUGGCCUAUAGAUCGGUGUAAUCUAAAUGUUCACGUUCGUUAUUUCUACGGUUGAUGUUUUCAUUGUCAUCUUUAUUUAUGUAGUGCUUUCAACAAUGCAGAUUGUGUCAAAGCAACUGAAUUAAAUUGGAAAAUAGUGUCUCAAUCAUGCAAAAAAGCAGUUCAUUAUUGAAUUCAGUGUCAUAAUCCAGCUCAAUUCAGUUUAAGUAGUAUCUGUGCAGUCAAAUCGAUGAUGUCAUUGGAAAUUAACUGUCCCCAUCUAAGCAAGCCAGAGGCAACAGUGGCAAGGAACCAAAACUACAUCAGUCUCUGAAGCUCUUCUAGUUGUCCUGGUUCUCCGCUGACAUUCAGGGCUGAAGAGGUCCUCUCUAGGUCCU
Molecule: long non-coding RNA, 1255 nt
Organism: Carassius gibelio (silver crucian carp)
Lineage: Eukaryota; Metazoa; Chordata; Actinopteri; Cypriniformes; Cyprinidae
Exons: 3
Source: RefSeq, a predicted model, not a curated record